RNAcentral lists this ribosomal RNA (674 nucleotides) under uncultured Clostridium sp. RNAcentral describes it as "bacterial SSU rRNA". It matches the Rfam family "Bacterial small subunit ribosomal RNA", at positions 797 to 1482 of the family's 1533-position model. Lineage: Bacteria; Bacillati; Bacillota; Clostridia; Eubacteriales; Clostridiaceae. The record is from RNAcentral.
GCACGGUAAACGAUGGAUGCCCGCUGUCCGCCUUUGUGGCGGGUGGCCAAGCGAAAGCGUUAAGCAUCCCACCUGGGGAGUACGCCGGCAACGGUGAAACUCAAAGGAAUUGACGGGGGCCCGCACAAGCGGAGGAACAUGUGGUUUAAUUCGAUGAUACGCGAGGAACCUUACCCGGGCUUGAACUGCCAGUGAACGAUACAGAGAUGUUGAGGCCCUUCGGGGCGCUGGUGGAGGUGCUGCAUGGUUGUCGUCAGCUCGUGUCGUGAGAUGUUGGGUUAAGUCCCGCAACGAGCGCAACCCUUAUUGUUAGUUGCUACGCAAGAGCACUCUAGCGAGACUGCCGUUGACAAAACGGAGGAAGGUGGGGACGACGUCAAAUCAUCAUGCCCCUUAUGUCCUGGGCCACACACGUACUACAAUGGUGGUUAACAGAGGGAGGCAAUACCGCGAGGUGGAGCAAAUCCCUAAAAGCCAUCCCAGUCCGGAUUGCAGGCUGAAACCCGCCUGUAUGAAGUUGGAAUCGCUAGUAAUCGCGGAUCAGCAUGCCGCGGUGAAUACGUUCCCGGGCCUUGUACACACCGCCCGUCACACCAUGAGAGUCGGGAACACCCGAAGUCCGUAGCCUAACCGCAAGGAGGGCGCGGCCGAAGGUGGGUUCGAUAAUUGGGGUG